ACCUCUCACGACCAUCAUUUCCUUGGUCAGCAGAAAACCCUAGAUCUUAUUUUAAAGCCAAACCCUCCCUUUCUUUCUCCAACGCCCAAUUCCAAAGUCGUUGUUUCACUUUUCCCAAUCCUCCAUGGUCGCUGCCACCGCAUUGCUCCACUCUCUCUGCUGCCGCGACCUUCCCUCUUCUCCUCUCUCUGCCUUCUGAUCGGUACCAUUCCGCCCUCUCUUACUAAUAAGGUGUGAGCGCCCCCACACCCUCGUAGCCGCCAAGGAUAUACUACCUCUAUUACCAGUGUGCUCCGUACUGCUUACCAGACUAACGUGAUGGCCUUCAAAUGGAAAUGUUGUUCGCUUGUGCCUUCAAAGGUUGGGGGUUUUGGAUUCGCAAGUUUGCUGAGAUAUACGCGUCCAAGUGAAAAGAUCCAGUGGGCUCAAUGUAAAGAUUGUUUCAAGUGGCGCAAAUUGCCAGCAAGUGCACUUCUUCCAUCAAAAUGGACAUGUUCUGAUAAUUUGUGGGAUCCAGAAAGUGAAGAUGUAAUUGUCGCUCUGACUGAUAUCUUGAAGCUACCUCUGAUGGAUAAAAGCAAUGGCUGCAGCUUCUCUAGCAUAUCUUCAAUUGUUGUCUUUUCAAGUGCUGUUUUUGUUGUCUCCUUGAUUUUGGUUCGUCUCCUUUAUCUCUUAUACUGUAGCAGCAAGCCCUUGAGCAAAAGGGCUUCAAAACCUUUUAGUACCCUUAUUAUUUUAGGAUCAGGUCGUCAUAUUGUUGAGAUGCUUAAUCUACUGGCAGUGUUACAGAAAGGUAGGUUUAAUCCAAGAUUCUACAUUGCUGCUGCUACUGAUAAUAUGAGUCUUCAAAAAGCUCAGUUGUUGGAGAAUUCCCUGGCUGCUGAGUACGUUCAUGAUGAAUCAGAAACUUUAUCUGAUAUUGAUGAUGAAGAAGUUGAUUUGUACAUUCAUGAUGAGGAGGGGAAGCAUAUCAAGAAGAUACUGUGGGAAACAGCAAAUAGGGAGUAUCUUGAGGAGCAGGCAGCCAAGGAAGCAGCUGCAGCAGCUAGCAAGAAAGCUUUUGAGGCAAAAUUUGAAAACUGUUCGGAGGAUAUACUAGCGGCAAGAGAGCUUGCUGCAUCUUCUACUGAAGCUGUGGCAAAAUCCAAAAAGGAAAUGAGACAGAAACGAGCUUAUGAGGCAAAAAAUACAAGGCCAGCUCAAUCUGCUGCAGAGACCUUUGGCCAAAUGUCUAAUAAAAAAAGGGAGCAAGCAGCCAAGGAAGUAGCUGCAGCAAUUAACAAGAAAGCUUUUGAGGCAAAAUUUGAAAACUGUUCGGAGGAUAUACUAGCGGCAAGAGAGCUUGGUGCAUCUUCUACUGAAGCUGUGGCAAAAUCCAGAAAGAAUUUGUAGGGUCUCAAAUCUAAAGUCAAUUUUGAACUCCUGAAUGAAUUGUUUGAUGAAAUGUUGCAACAUCAUAAAAGACCUUUUGUUGAGAUACGCAGUUCUCUCCAUGUUUUGGAGCGCAAUUGCUUGCUCUAAAAAGUAUAAUGAGGCUGACCUCUUAGAUGGAGAAACAGGUACUGGGAAGACUACAAUUCAAGCUAAUUGUGGUGAAGUUUUGUCAAAUAUUACUCCAUAUUUUUAUUUCUUUUCUCUUUCAUAUAAACCUGUGUUGCUGAUAACAGAUCAUAUAAAUUUGGACAUAAACUUUGAUUUGAUCAUGUGCCAGUGUGUGAUAAUUUCUGAUUUUUGGGAUUGAGUUCUUUGUAUUAGUUUGUAAAUUAUUCUUUCUCUUCAGAUUUAGUUCACAUUGUUGUCUAUACAAUAACUCAAAUUAUUCUUUGUAUCA
Glycine soja is the source of this 1831-nucleotide RNA transcript. RefSeq lists it as uncharacterized. The transcript has 11 exons. NCBI's taxonomy places the organism in Eukaryota, Viridiplantae, Streptophyta, Magnoliopsida, Fabales, Fabaceae. The record is from RefSeq and is a predicted model, not a curated record.